Molecule: long non-coding RNA, 1271 nt
Organism: Brassica oleracea var. oleracea
Lineage: Eukaryota; Viridiplantae; Streptophyta; Magnoliopsida; Brassicales; Brassicaceae
Exons: 5
Source: RefSeq, a predicted model, not a curated record
AAAUUGCAUGUCCCUCUUCCUUUUCGAUUCUUCAUAGCCAUGUUGUGAAUCCCUCGGCGUAUCACCCUAUAUAUACCGUCUUAAAGCAUAUAUAUUUUACAUGAUUCACCACAAGCUGACCUUCUUGAUCUCGAAGCUCCCAUCAAGAUCUACGUUAUAGACAAGGAAGAAAAAAAAAUUGGGUGGAUUUGUGGAGUAGCUAAGAGAGGUUGAUAUGUUUAAUCAAUCAUCUGAUAGCAGCAGAUCAUCUCAAAGCAGAGAAGUUAAAGGACUCAUAAUGAUCACUUGAAUUGCUCUAAGUUUUGGAUGAUAUUCGUGGACAGUACUCGGGUCUGUUGAUGCUGUUUGAAUACGGAGGCUUCCCUCCUACAAAUAGGGAGGCUUCCCUCCUACAGCUAAACUUUUUAUUCUUAGGAGAUCAUGUGGAACGAAGGUAGCGGAGUGUGGAGACGAUCCGUCUUCUACUUUCCUACAAAAUCAAUUACCCGAGAACCUUUUCCUUCUAUGAGGAAACCACGAAUGAGCUUCCAUCAGGCAUCAACAGAAUCUAUGGAUUCUAUGAUGGAUUCAACCGCUGAUUCAGUGUGAGACUCCCGUAGCUGCUGCAAUAGUGAUAUGAUAUUAUGCAUGCCUAGUGGCCUUUCUCCUGAUUUGACAACCGCAGAUUACGACCAUUAAGCGACCAACUGAUGUUCCAGAGUCUGGUCAGCUCUGCGAUCUGCUUUGGUCUGAUCAAGCAAAGAUGUCAAUGUCUGGUGGAUGAACCACCGUGGAAUCUCUUACACGUUUGGAUCCGAAAAGGUCACUGAAUUUCUAAUAAAGAACGAUAUGGAUCUCAUCUGAAAUGCUCAACAUGUUGUAGAGGAUGGUUAUGAUUUUUUCCUGAUCGACAGCUUGCUAUUAUAUUCUCUGCUCCUAACUACUGUGGUGACUUCGACAAUACUGGUGCAAUGAUAAGUGUUGAUGAAAUUUUAAUGUACUCUUUCCAAACUCUUAAGCAUGUGGAAAGAAGGCCCUGGUUCUUAUGCUGAAUAGAGUUUGAACCUCUCGGGGAAAGAAGAUGAAAUUGGCAACAUGAAGCCGGGGAAGAGACAUUUGACUCUACUUGAGAUUUUGUCCUGAGGCCUUCCAAAGAGGCUUAAAAUGCAUGUUAUAUGUCAUAUCAUAUCUUCAUGAUACUCGCCAUUUCUUUUCUCAAAACUUUAUGUUUUCAUGACCUUCUCUGACUCGUAUUGGACAGCAAAAAGUCUACAAAGUUUUAUUCUUCCAUC